UGGUGUGUAGGUAAAUCCGCACACUCCAAGGCCAGGCUGUGAUGGGGAGCGAAAAUUAUAGUAGCGAAGGUCAUGAUCUCACACUGCCAAGAAAAGCCUCUAGCCAGGAAGCAGGUGCCCGUACCGCAAACCGACACAGGUGGGCGAGAAGAGAAUUCUAAGGCGCGCGGAAGAACUCUCGUUAAGGAACUCGGCAAAAUGACCCCGUAACUUCGGGAGAAGGGGUGCCCCGGUAGUGUGAAUAGCACGAGGGGGCCGCAGUGAAAAGGCCCAAGCGACUGUUUAGCAAAAACACAGGUCUGUGCGAAGCCGCAAGGCGAAGUAUACGGGCUGACGCCUGCCCGGUGCUGGAAGGUUAAGGGGAGUGGUUAGCGCAAGCGAAGCUAUGAACCGAAGCCCCAGUAAACGGCGGCCGUAACUAUAACGGUCCUAAGGUAGCGAAAUUCCUUGUCAGGUAAAUUCUGACCCGCACGAAUGGCGUAACGAUUUGGGCGCUGUCUCAACGAGAGAUCCGGUGAAAUUUUAAUACCUGUGAAGAUGCAGGUUACCCGCGACAAGACGGAAAGACCCCAUGGAGCUUUACUGCAGCUUGAUAUUGAACUGGGGUGCGAUUUGUACAGGAUAGGUGGGAGCCUUUGAAGAGGGAGCGCAAGCUUCCUUGGAGGCGCCGUUGGGAUACCACCCUGAUCGCAUCUGAGUUCUAACCUGGUACCGUGAUCCGGUACAGGGACCGUGUCAGGUGGGCAGUUUGACUGGGGCGGUCGCCUCCUAAAAUGUAACGGAGGCGCCCUAAGGUUCCCUCAGAAUGGUUGGAAAUCAUUCGAAGAGUGUAAAGGCAUAAGGGAGCUUGACUGCGAGACCUACAAGUCGAGCAGGGACGAAAGUCGGGCUUAGUGAUCCGGUGGUACCGCAUGGAAGGGCCAUCGCUCAACGGAUAAAAGCUACCCUGGGGAUAACAGGCUUAUCUCCCCCAAGAGUCCACAUCGACGGGGAGGUUUGGCACCUCGAUGUCGGCUCAUCGCAUCCUGGGGCUGAAGUAGGUCCCAAGGGUUGGGCUGUUCGCCCAUUAAAGCGGUACGCGAGCUGGGUUCAGAACGUCGUGAGACAGUUCGGUCCCUAUCUGUCGUGGGCGCAGGAAAUUUGAGAGGAGCUGUCCUUAGUACGAGAGGACCGGGAUGGACGCACCGCUGGUGUACCAGUUGUUCCGCCAGGAGCAUCGCUGGGUAGCUACGUGCGGACGGGAUAAGCGCUGAAAGCAUCUAAGCGUGAAGCCCCCCUCAAGAUGAGAUUUCCCAACUAGUAAGACCCCUUGAAGACGACGAGGUAGAUAGGUUGGGGGUGGAAGUGCAGCAAUGCAUGGAGCUGACCAAUACUAAUCGGUCGAGGGCUUAUCCA
RNAcentral lists this ribosomal RNA (1395 nucleotides) under Paenibacillus dauci. Its description in RNAcentral is "bacterial LSU rRNA". It matches the Rfam family "Bacterial large subunit ribosomal RNA", at positions 1526 to 2925 of the family's 2925-position model. Lineage: Bacteria; Bacillati; Bacillota; Bacilli; Caryophanales; Paenibacillaceae. The record is from RNAcentral.